Molecule: long non-coding RNA, 497 nt
Filed under: Cricetulus griseus (Chinese hamster)
Lineage: Eukaryota; Metazoa; Chordata; Mammalia; Rodentia; Cricetidae
Description: lncRNA (ENSCGRG00015012975.2)
Source: RNAcentral
AUUCAUAUCUUUAAAAUUGGUUUAUGGUGCUUUACCUAGACUGUUGGGUGAGAGUCACAAAAAGAGGAAGUGUCCAAAUGCCUGCUGCACAUCAACUGCCUAAGGGAUCUGGAUGUGGAUCAACUUGCAAAGGGAUCCUGUAGACAGGCAUGACAGAAAGUGGACAAGAGGACCACCCUGACCCCAGAGACAUGAGGGCCUGUGGUUCACCUUGGAGUAUCAGAAAAUAUGUGACCAUUGGCAGCUGGUUUGUGCAGAAUCCCUGGUUACGCUGAGCCUCGAGGACUGUGACUGUCUUAUGUACCUGUUGCCCGUGGGGCCUGGAAAAGGAAAAAAAUCAUGGGGGUGUUAGAAUAGAAGCAAGACAAUGCAUGCCACAUGCCACACGCUACAUGCCACAUGCCACACGCCACAUGUCACAGCUCCAUUGUUUUUGAAGCUAUUGUUUUCCUUUCUUAGCUUUGAGCCUGUCUAAUGUAUUAAACUUUUUUUUUUUC